GUGGGGAAUCUUCCGCAAUGGACGAAAGUCUGACGGAGCAACGCCGCGUGAACGAUGACGGCCUUCGGGUUGUAAAGUUCUGUUAUACGGGACGAAUGGUACGACGGUCAAUACCCGUCGUAAGUGACGGUACCGUAAGAGAAAGCCACGGCUAACUACGUGCCAGCAGCCGCGGUAAUACGUAGGUGGCAAGCGUUGUCCGGAAUUAUUGGGCGUAAAGGGCGCGCAGGUGGCGUCGUAAGUCGGUCUUAAAAGUGCGGGGCUUAACCUCGUGAGGGGACCGAAACUGCGAUGCUAGAGUAUCGGAGAGGAAAGCGGAAUUCCUAGGGUAGCGGUGAAAUGCGUAGAUAUUAGGAGGAACACCAGUGGCGAAAGCGGCUUUCUGGACGACAACUGACGCUGAGGCGCGAAAGCCAGGGGAGCAAACGGGAUUAGAAACCCUGGUAGUCC
RNAcentral lists this ribosomal RNA (450 nucleotides) under uncultured bacterium. RNAcentral's name for it is "partial 16S ribosomal RNA". It matches the Rfam family "Bacterial small subunit ribosomal RNA", at positions 354 to 796 of the family's 1533-position model. The record is from RNAcentral.